RNAcentral lists this transfer RNA (66 nucleotides) under Hydropsyche cerva. RNAcentral's name for it is "tRNA-Thr". The record is from RNAcentral. Lineage: Eukaryota; Metazoa; Arthropoda; Insecta; Trichoptera; Hydropsychidae.
GUUUUUAUAAUUUAAUCAAAAAUACUGAUCUUGUAAAUCAGCUUUAAGAAUUUUUCUUUAAAAACU